Molecule: ribosomal RNA, 243 nt
Filed under: uncultured bacterium
Lineage: Bacteria
Description: partial 16S ribosomal RNA
Rfam family: Bacterial small subunit ribosomal RNA
Source: RNAcentral
UAACGCGUGGGUAACCUGCCUUAUACAGGGGGAUAACAGUCAGAAAUGGCUGCUAAUACCGCAUAAGCGCACAGAGCUGCAUGGCUCAGUGUGAAAAACUCCGGUGGUAUAAGAUGGACCCGCGUUGGAUUAGCUUGUUGGUGGGUAACGGCCCACCAAGGCGACGAUCCAUAGCCGGCCUGAGAGGGUGAACGGCCACAUUGGGACUGAGACACGGCCCAGACUCCUACGGGAGGCAGCAUG